GCCCAGGUGGCGGAAUUGGUAGACUCAUUAGAUUUAGGUCUUAGCGGUGGCAACACCGUGCAGAUUCGAGUCCUCUUUUGGGCACCA
Molecule: transfer RNA, 87 nt
Filed under: Candidatus Burkholderia crenata
Lineage: Bacteria; Pseudomonadati; Pseudomonadota; Betaproteobacteria; Burkholderiales; Burkholderiaceae
Description: tRNA-Undet-???
Source: RNAcentral